Molecule: long non-coding RNA, 611 nt
Filed under: Sorghum bicolor (sorghum)
Lineage: Eukaryota; Viridiplantae; Streptophyta; Magnoliopsida; Poales; Poaceae
Description: long non-coding RNA (SBIC_LNC000014)
Source: RNAcentral
CCGCAGCGGCGCUCUCAAAUCCCUAGAACCAGCUGCGCUUGGAGAUUGAAUCACCAGCCAUGGCAACAGGUUCGCGACAUUCUCGAUUCGCAAGUAUACUCAGGCCUUUAUCACUACCAGUGUCAUUCCUGCCUUCGUCGGUUCAUCCUCACUCCCUCAGAUCCCUUUUGCCUUUGGCAGGGAAAGCAGUGAAGCGCUGCGGCGACCGGCGACCUACCGCAAGGUGCAAGCUAUGCCGGAGGCCGGAGCACCACGACUGCACAUCUCCACGGUCUGCUGUUAGCUGACGACAAGCAACUAGAGAUGCAUCUCUCAGCGAGUUUUAAAUUGGUCUUCUCAGUUAGUAGCAAUGGCAGACCGUCAGAGGAAACUUAGCCAAGCAGGUAAUUUCAGAAUAAUUUGAUAGCUAGUGAUUUGGUUCAUUCGUUUCAUUUAGCGUUUAAUUGAUGUUAUAAUUCUGAAAUUUGAUUCAGGGAUGAGGCGUUUUUUGGUUGAUACGAGGAAUCAAGGCACUGGAAUUGAUGAAUCCGAAAGAAACUCAAACUUGGAAGAGCCACGUGAUGGUGUGCCAAAUCCAGAUCAGCAACAACCAAGUAUCGGCAAUGUAACUA